UUAUUAUGAGAGUUUGAUCCUGGCUCAGGACGAACGCUGGCGGCGUGCCUAAUACAUGCAA
RNAcentral lists this ribosomal RNA (61 nucleotides) under Enterococcus faecalis. RNAcentral describes it as "partial 16S ribosomal RNA". It matches the Rfam family "Bacterial small subunit ribosomal RNA", at positions 1 to 60 of the family's 1533-position model. RNAcentral also lists the same sequence under 1 other name. Lineage: Bacteria; Bacillati; Bacillota; Bacilli; Lactobacillales; Enterococcaceae. The record is from RNAcentral.